UACGUAUGGUGCAAGCGUUAUCCGGAUUUACUGGGCGUAAAGGGAGCGCAGGCGGUUUAUUAAGUCUGGUGUAAAAGGCAGUGGCUCAACCAUUGUAUGCAUUGGAAACUGGUAGACUUGUGUGCAGGGGAGGAGAGUGGAAUUCCAUGUGUAGCGGUGAAAUGCGUAGAUAUAUGGAGGAACACCGGUGGCGAAAGCGGCUCUCUGGCCUGUAACUGACACUGAGGCUCGAAAGCGUGGGGAGCAAACAGG
Molecule: ribosomal RNA, 252 nt
Filed under: uncultured bacterium
Lineage: Bacteria
Description: partial 16S ribosomal RNA
Rfam family: Bacterial small subunit ribosomal RNA
Source: RNAcentral